Molecule: non-coding RNA, 26 nt
Filed under: Homo sapiens (human)
Lineage: Eukaryota; Metazoa; Chordata; Mammalia; Primates; Hominidae
Source: RNAcentral
UCCAGGGCCUCUUCUCUGCUAGGAGC